CAAAAUAAGGUUUAUACAACUCCAAGAAUAGAAAUCAAAAUAUAAAACCCUUGGCCCUUUAUUAGGGCUGCAUCCAGCCCUGUGAGGAGAUCAGCCUUCCAUGGAGUCGUGGGCGACAGCAGCAGCGAUAUAGAAGGCCUUCAUCACGACUGGGUUCUCCCUCUUUCCUCCCGUCGGCUUCCUCUCAGCACAUCAUCAUCUUUUAUAUGUGGGAAGUUAUUCCCAAAAUAGCCAAACCUCUCUCCCUCCUCUGUUUCCUGUGGGACUUCCACCCGAGAAGAGAUAUGUGGAACCCCUCCCGGUGGGGAAUGAGGAAUGGAAGAGAAUGCCUCUAGCCUUCAUCAUCGACUCCCUUUUAUAGCCUUCUCUAUCUUCUGUUAGCAUCCGGAGGAUAAACUUCCCGAGUGAAAGGAUGAGGAUGGAGGAACGGCUUCUGUUUCAUGGCAGCGGGCGACGCGUAGAAGAUUUGAUUCGAGCGAAGAGGCAGAUGGUUGGGGAGCUUGAUCCGCGGACUGUUGCAGUUCUGAUCCGUUGAAGGGAUUUUGCUGGGAUGAAUCAAGGGGAGUUUGGAUGAAGCUCACGGCUGAAAACGGAUUCUGUUUUGAGGAUGCUGGGAUGAUUCGGAUGAAGAUAAAAUGAACUGGAAACAGGGGAUAGCGGGGAUGCAUGAUUGAAUGGAUCCUGAGUUUGGUUGGCGAUGAAGACGGGAUGCUACACGUAACAGGGGAUUUGAGCUCAUCCGUGGGUGCUGGAACUGGGUGCUUGAAUGAUAUUCACGGUUGAGAGGGGAUAAGAAUGAAUCGUGGAGAGGACGCAUGAGGUGCUGGGAGCUGGAAUUCCGUUCGUAGGAUAUUCGGAAGGAUGCGGAUGAGAUCCUGGUUCUGUUUCCGUGGCUGGGGUUGUUUGGAUGAAGAUGGAUCACAACGGGAUAAGAUUUGGAUUGGUUCCGAAACAGGGGAAGUAAAGUUCGAUGACGACGUUGGGAUCAUUUGGUUGUGCUGCCAUUGGCUGGAAAUCCGGGAGAUGGGCAUGAGAUAAGGAUGAAGUCGGAACAGAUUGAACGUGAAACAGGGGAUUCGGAGAGGAGCAUGGGACGUUGGGGUUAAUCCAAAAGAAGGUUAGCUUGGUUCGGAAGAGGAGAACGUGGCUGGGGGUUUGGAUGAAAUGGGAUGAACGGCUCUAAUCCUGGUCCGAAUAGCAUGCACACAGGGGAGGUGAGUUAGGAUUCUUAUCCGUGGGAGAUGAUGAUAUUGAAUAUUUAAAUGGAAUUGAUAUGGAAAAAAAUGACUAGUGGAUGGCUGGGAAGUGGGAGAAUCACGUGAAGGGGAAUGAUCCAUGGAUGCUCUGUUCUUUGUUUCAAUGCAUGGGAAAAACAAUGGGUUUGAGAGGCGUGGAGUUGGGUGAUGCAUGAUGAAUGGCAGAGAUGGGAUGAGGCUUUGAGAUCCGUGCAACUAAGAUGGUAUGCUUUGAGAUUUGAGAAAUAAAUAAUUGAAGGGAUUUUAUUGUUUUUGAGAUUAAAAUUAGAUCAUGUGGAAAAAGAGUUGGAACGAGUGGGGAGAAAUUUAGGUGAACUUAGAAAGCACUGGAUUUUGGAGAAGAGUUCUUGAAGUCGACUCCGGAGAAUGUGAAAUUUUAAAAUGAUGUAGUGUCCGUUUAGGCUUUACCUAGUUGAGCUCGACUCGACCUGCAUGCAUUAAGCUUAAUCAAUAAAUAAUCAAAUCAAACUUGAAUUACCUUGGAUAAUUUAUUGAAAUGCAAUCAUGAAGGUAAUACAAUUUUUAGUUAAAUUUACAAAAUAUGUGAAUUAAAAUAAUGAUAAGUGCUAUAAAUAAGAUAUUAAUUUAUGCAUUAUUUAGCACUU
Molecule: long non-coding RNA, 1861 nt
Filed under: Phoenix dactylifera (date palm)
Lineage: Eukaryota; Viridiplantae; Streptophyta; Magnoliopsida; Arecales; Arecaceae
Description: long non-coding RNA (PDAC_LNC007053)
Source: RNAcentral